UACGGGGGGAGCAAGCGUUGUUCGGAUUUACUGGGCGUAAAGGCGCGUAGGCGGUCAGCACAAGUCAGUUGUGAAAUCUCCGGGCUUAACUCGGAAAGGUCAACUGAUACUGUGCGACUAGAGUGCAGAAGGGGCAACUGGAAUUCUCGGUGUAGCGGUGAAAUGCGUAGAUAUCGAGAGGAACACCUGCGGCGAAGGCGGGUUGCUGGGCUGACACUGACGCUGAUGCGCGAAAGCCAGGGAGCGAACGGG
Molecule: ribosomal RNA, 252 nt
Filed under: uncultured bacterium
Lineage: Bacteria
Description: partial 16S ribosomal RNA
Rfam family: Bacterial small subunit ribosomal RNA
Source: RNAcentral